RNAcentral lists this ribosomal RNA (370 nucleotides) under uncultured bacterium. RNAcentral describes it as "partial 16S ribosomal RNA". It matches the Rfam family "Bacterial small subunit ribosomal RNA", at positions 338 to 704 of the family's 1533-position model. The record is from RNAcentral.
CCUACGGGAGGCAGUAGUGAGGAAUAUUGGUCAAUGGACGAGAGUCUGAACCGGCCAAGUAGCGUGAAGGAUGACUCCCCUAUGGGUUGUACACUUCUUUUAUAACGGAAUAAAACGAGGCACGUGUGCCUUUUUGCAUGUACUUUAUGAAUAAGGAUCGGCUCACUCCGUGCCAGCAGCCGCGGUCAUACGGAGGGUCCGAGCGUUAUCCGGAGUUAUUGGGUGGAAAGGGUGCGUAGGCGGGGAGGUAAGUCAGCGGGGAACUGCCCCCGCUCAGCGGGGUGAAGUGCCAUGGAUACGGGCUUGCUGGAAGGCGGAGGCGGUGGGAGGAAUGUGUGGGGUAGCGGUGAAAUGCAGAGAGGUGACACAG